AUGUGGAUGGUAACAGUGAGGAGGAGAGAGGGGGUUGCUAUUACUCCCCAUUACGAUGUGGAUCGUAAAAAUGACUCCCCCCUGCAAUACAGUAUCACAGGAGGGGUGCACAGCCACAGCCUGCAGGACCCUGAGGAGCCCUCCUUCUGCUUGGAAGCUGAGGACGACUGGGAGGACCCAGAGGCCCUGAGCUCACUGCUGCUGUUCCUGAACGCCCCCGGGUACAAGGCCAGCUUCCGUGGCCUGUACGACGUGGCGCUGCCAUGGCUGAGCAGCGUCUUCUGCAGCUUUAGCGACAAGGAGGAGCUGACUGGGCGCCUGGCACAGGCCCGAGGGGCGGCCAAGAACGCUGGCCUCCUCAUGGCCCUGGCCAGGCUCUGCUUCCUCCUGGGGCAGCUGUGCAGCAGGAGGCUCAAGCUGUCCCAGGCCCGGGUGUACUUUGAGGAAGCACUGGGGGCCCUGGAGGGCAGCUUCAGGGACCUGUUCCUGGUGGUGGCUGUGUACGCCAACCUGGCCAGCAUUUACCGGAAGCAGAAGAACCGGGAGAAGUGUACACAGGUGGUUCCCAAAGCCGUGGCCCUGCUCCUGGGGACGCCUGGCCACAUCUGCAGCACCGAGGCGGAGGGGGAGCUCCUGCAGCUGGCGCCGCGGUGGGCGGUGGGUGGCCAGAGCCUGCAGGCCGAGGCCCGGGCCUGCUUCCUGCUGGCCAGGCACCACGUGCACCUCAAGCAGCCCGAGGAGGCCCUGCCCUUCCUAGAGCGGCUGCUGCUUUUGCACAGGGACUCGGGAGCCCUAGAGGCUGCGUGGCUCUCAGACUGCUCCCUACUCCUGGCUGACAUCUACAGCCGCAAGUGCCUGCCCCACCUGGUGCUGAGCUGUGUCAAGGUGGCCUCAUUGAGGACACAGGACUCGCUGGCCGGCUCGCUGGGGAGCGUGAACCUGGUGCUCCAGAAUGCCCUCCAGCCCCAGAGCCUCCCCACCCAGACUUCCCACUACCUCAGGCGAGCGCUGGCCUCCCUAACCCCGGGCACAGGCCGGGCGCUGCGCGGCCUUCUCCACGCCAGCCUGGCCCAGCUGUAUAGCCACCAUGGCUACCACGGCCCGGCCAUCACCUUCAUGAUGCAGGCGGUGGAAGCCAGUGCUGUUGCCGGAGUCCGUGCCAUCGUGGACCACCUGGUGGCCCUGGCCUGGCUGCAUGUGCUUCAUGGGCAGAGCCCGGUGGCCCUGGACAUCCUGCAGUCUGUCCAGGAUGCAGUGGUGGCCAGUGAGGACCAGGAGGGUGUGAUUGCCAACAUGGUGGCCGUGGCUCUGAAGAGGAUGGGCCGGACUAGGCAGGCAGCCGAGGGCUACUACCGCGCCCUACAGGUGACUCGGGACCUGGGCCAGCGGAGGAACCAGGCAGUGGCGCUGGCCAACUUCGGGGCCCUGUGCCUGCACGCGGGUGCCAGCAGGCUGGCCCAGCACUACCUCCUGGAGGCCGUGUGGCUGUUCUCGAGGCUGCCCUGUGGGGAGUGUGGCCGGGACUUCACCCACGUGCUCCUGCAGCUGGGCCACCUCUGCACCCGCCAGGGCCCGGCCCAGCAGGGCAAGGGCUACUAUGAGUGGGCCCUUCUGGUCGCUGAGGAGAUGGGCCACGUGGAGAGUGAGUGCCCCGGUUCCUCCUGUGUGCCUUCCGGGGCCACUCGGGUCAGGGCACACCUGGGGUUUGUGAUUCAGAAACAAGUGGUGGUUCUUCCACCAUCGAAAGUGCUGAGUCGUGGCCAACAGCAGAUGUUGGCAAGAGCCCUAGAGACAGGCGGUUCCCAUGCAGGGCCAGGCCCUCUGUGCCCUACUGGGGCAGCCAGCUCUUCCCGGUUUGCCCAGGGACCAUCCUGCCUUGAGCACUGAAAGUCCUGCAUGCUGGGAAUCCCUAGACAUAACCCUGGGAUCAAGGCAGGCUCUGCUGAGCUGGGACUUGGGGCCCCUGCAUGAGCCAGGCCCUGAACGCCGGUUCUUGUGCCUGUGUUAUCUGCUUGGUAUCUCGGCAGCCUGUGCACCUGUCAUCCCACUUCACAGAGGACACAGGGGCGGGUGAUUGCCCAAAGCCACAGAGCAGUUCAUGCAAAAGCAGCUCGUUGUGCAGAGUGUGCCAGGCCCCACCCACAAAUGGGGCUUGUGGGGUCCUCGAGUGGCAGGGGCUGAGCAUGGGAAUGUGAGCUUCAGGCCAGAGAAGCCACAAAAGGGUGAGUGGCAUGAUGGCGGGGCAGCACUUGGCCCCGGGUUAGGGAAGCCUCUUUAGUCUGGGACCACAGGGUUGAGAGGAUUUAGUCAAGUAAUAGGUGGUGGGAGAGGGGCUGGUGGUGUAGCCUGUGUGAAGGCCCAGGGGUGAGCGAG
Molecule: non-coding RNA, 2373 nt
Organism: Macaca mulatta (Rhesus monkey)
Lineage: Eukaryota; Metazoa; Chordata; Mammalia; Primates; Cercopithecidae
Source: RefSeq, a predicted model, not a curated record